RNAcentral lists this ribosomal RNA (628 nucleotides) under uncultured bacterium. Its description in RNAcentral is "bacterial SSU rRNA". It matches the Rfam family "Bacterial small subunit ribosomal RNA", at positions 197 to 845 of the family's 1533-position model. The record is from RNAcentral.
GUGUGAAAAACUCCGGUGGUAUGAGAUGGACCCGCGUCUGAUUAGCUAGUUGGCGAGGUAACGGCUCACCAAGGCGACGAUCAGUAGCCGACCUGAGAGGGUGAUCGGCCACAUUGGGACUGAGACACGGCCCAAACUCCUACGGGAGGCAGCAGUGGGGAAUAUUGCACAAUGGGGGAAACCCUGAUGCAGCAACGCCGCGUGAGUGAAGAAGUAUUUCGGUAUGUAAAGCUCUAUCAGCAGGGAAGAAAAUGACGGUACCUGACUAAGAAGCCCCGGCUAACUACGUGCCAGCAGCCGCGGUAAUACGUAGGGGGCAAGCGUUAUCCGGAUUUACUGGGUGUAAAGGGAGCGUAGACGGCGAAGCAAGUCUGAAGUGAAAGCCCGGGGCUUAACCCCGGGACUGCUUUGGAAACUGUUUUGCUAGAGUGCUGGAGAGGUAAGUGGAAUUCCUAGUGUAGCGGUGAAAUGCGUAGAUAUUAGGAGGAACACCAGUGGCGAAGGCGGCUUACUGGACAGUAACUGACGUUGAGGCUCGAAAGCGUGGGGAGCAAACAGGAUUAGAUACCCUGGUAGUCCACGCGGUAAACGAUGAAUGCUAGGUGUUGGGGAGCAAAGCUCUUCGGUG